GAUGAACGCUGGCGGCGUGCUUAACACAUGCAAGUCGAACGGGAAACCUUUUAAAGAAGCUUCGGCAAAUUUAGCUGGUUUCUAGUGGCGGACGGGUGAGUAACGCGUGGGUAACCUGCCUUGUACAGGGGGAUAACAGUCAGAAAUGACUGCUAAUACCGCAUAAGCGCACAGGACCGCAUGGUCCAGUGUGAAAAACUCCGGUGGUAUAAGAUGGACCCGCGUUGGAUUAGCUAGUUGGUGGGGUAACGGCCUACCAAGGCGACGAUCCAUAGCCGGCCUGAGAGGGUGAACGGCCACAUUGGGACUGAGACACGGCCCAGACUCCUACGGGAGGCAGCAGUGGGGAAUAUUGCACAAUGGGGGAAACCCUGAUGCAGCGACGCCGCGUGAAGGAAGAAGUAUCUCGGUAUGUAAACUUCUAUCAGCAGGGAAGAAUUAGGACGGUACCUGACUAAGAAGCCCCGGCUA
This 471-nucleotide ribosomal RNA is filed under the name uncultured bacterium. RNAcentral describes it as "bacterial SSU rRNA". It matches the Rfam family "Bacterial small subunit ribosomal RNA", at positions 28 to 499 of the family's 1533-position model. The record is from RNAcentral.